GGGAAAUGCGCUGCUAUACAUGCAGUCGAGCGGACAGAUGGGAGCUUGCUCCCUGAUGUUAGCGGCGGACGGGUGAGUAACACGUGGGUAACCUGCCUGUAAGACUGGGAUAACUCCGGGAAACCGGGGCUAAUACCGGAUGCUUGUUUGAACCGCAUGGUUCAAACAUAAAAGGUGGCUUCGGCUACCACUUACAGAUGGACCCGCGGCGCAUUAGCUAGUUGGUGAGGUAAUGGCUCACCAAGGCAACGAUGCGUAGCCGACCUGAGAGGGUGAUCGGCCACACUGGGACUGAGACACGGCCCAGACUCCUACGGGAGGCAGCAGUAGGGAAUCUUCCGCAAUGGACGAAAGUCUGACGGAGCAACGCCGCGUGAGUGAUGAAGGUUUUCGGAUCGUAAAGCUCUGUUGUUAGGGAAGAACAAGUACCGUUCGAAUAGGGCGGUACCUUGACGGUACCUAACCAGAAAGCCACGGCUAACUACGUGCCAGCAGCCGCGGUAAUACGUAGGUGGCAAGCGUUGUCCGGAAUUAUUGGGCGUAAAGGGCUCGCAGGCGGUUCCUUAAGUCUGAUGUGAAAGCCCCCGGCUCAACCGGGGAGGGUCAUUGGAAACUGGGGAACUUGAGUGCAGAAGAGGAGAGUGGAAUUCCACGUGUAGCGGUGAAAUGCGUAGAGAUGUGGAGGAACACCAGUGGCGAAGGCGACUCUCUGGUCUGUAACUGACGCUGAGGAGCGAAAGCGUGGGGAGCGAACAGGAUUAGAUACCCUGGUAGUCCACGCCGUAAACGAUGAGUGCUAAGUGUUAAGGGGGUUUCCGCCCCUUAGUGCUGCAGCUAACGCAUUAAGCACUCCGCCUGGGGAGUACGGUCGCAAGACUGAAACUCAAAGGAAUUGACGGGGGCCCGCACAAGCGGUGGAGCAUGUGGUUUAAUUCGAAGCAACGCGAAGAACCUUACCAGGUCUUGACAUCCUCUGACAAUCCUAGAGAUAGGACGUCUCCUUCGGGGGCAGAGUGACAGGUGGUGCAUGGUUGUCCUCACCUCCUGUCCUGAAAUGUUGGGUUAAGUCCCGCACCACCGCACCCUUGAUCUUAGUGCCAGCAUUCAGUUGGCACUCUAAGGUGACUGCCGGUGACAACCCGAAGAAAGUGGGGAUGACGUCAAUCAUCAUGCCCCUUAGGACCUGGCCUACCACGUGCUACAUGGACGGAAGAAAGGGACCGAAACCCCCAGGUUAACCCAUCCACAGAUCUGUUUCCAUUCGGAAGCGAGUCGGCACUCCAUGCUUGAACUGGAAACCUUGAUAACCGGAACACAUCGGCCGGGGAAAAGUUUCCGGGCUUGUGAAACCCCCUUCCCACGCAAAGUUUGUAACCCCAACCCGGAAGGAACCUUUGGGCCCGCCUCCAGGUCGAAAUGGGUGGACCGUCCACGUACCGACCAGACCCGAUCCUGUCCCGCUCACCAUCUGCUAAUAACCUC
Molecule: ribosomal RNA, 1482 nt
Filed under: Bacillus sp. (in: firmicutes)
Lineage: Bacteria; Bacillati; Bacillota; Bacilli; Caryophanales; Bacillaceae
Description: bacterial SSU rRNA
Rfam family: Bacterial small subunit ribosomal RNA
Source: RNAcentral